Molecule: ribosomal RNA, 932 nt
Filed under: uncultured bacterium
Lineage: Bacteria
Description: bacterial SSU rRNA
Rfam family: Bacterial small subunit ribosomal RNA
Source: RNAcentral
AGAGUUUGAUCCUGGCUCAGAAUCAACGCUGGCGGCGUGCCUCAGACAUGCAAGUCGAACGCGAAAGUCCCCUUCGGGGGACAAGUAGAGUGGCGCACGGGUGAGUAACACGUAGGUAAUCUACCUUCGGAUGGGGAAUAACAACCGGAAACGGUUGCUAAUACCGCAUAAUGCAGCGGCACCUAAUGGUGACAGUUGUUAAAGCGGGGGAUCGCAAGACCUCGCGUCUGAAGAGGAGCCUGCGGCGGAUUAGCUAGUUGGUAAGGUAACGGCUUACCAAGGCGACGAUCCGUAGCCGGCCUGAGAGGGCGGUCGGCCACACUGACACUGACAUACGGGUCAGACUCCUACGGGAGGCAGCAGUCGGGAAUUUUGGGCAAUGGGCGAAAGCCUGACCCAGCAACGCCGCGUGAAGGAUGAAAUCCCUCGGGAUGUAAACUUCGCAAGAACGGGAAGAAUAAGUAGGGGACAAUACCCCCUAUGAUGACGGUACCGUUUGUAAGCUCCGGCUAACUCCGUGCCAGCAGCCGCGGUAAUACGGGGGGAGCAAGCGUUGUUCGGAUUUACUGGGCGUAAAGGGCGCGUAGGCGGCCAGCACAAGUCAGUUGUGAAAUCUCCGAGCUUAACUCGGAAAGGUCAACUGAUACUGUGCGGCUAGAGUGCGGAAGGGGCAACUGGAAUUCUUGGUGUAGCGGUGAAAUGCGUAGAUAUCAAGAGGAACACCUGCGGCGAAGGCGGGUUGCUGGGCCGACACUGACGCUGAGGCGCGAAAGCUAGGGGAGCGAACGGGAUUAGAUACCCCGGUAGUCCUAGCCUUAAACGAUGAAUGCUUGGUGUCUGGGGUUAUAAAGUCCCCGGGUGCCGUCGCUAACGCUUUAAGCAUUCCGCCUGGGGAGUACGGUCGCAAGACUGAAACUCAAAGGAAUUGACGG